GCUGGGCAUGGUGGUGCAUGCCUGUAAUCCCAGCCACUCGGGAGGCUGAGGCAGGAGAAUCGCUUGAACUCAGGAAGCAGCGGUUGCAGUGAGUCGAGAUCGUGCCACUGCACUCCAGCCUGGGUGACAGAGGGAGACUCUGUCUCAA
Unclassified non-coding RNA from Macaca mulatta (Rhesus monkey), 148 nucleotides. It matches the Rfam family "Metazoan signal recognition particle RNA". From Rfam's summary of the family: The signal recognition particle (SRP) is a universally conserved ribonucleoprotein. It is involved in the co-translational targeting of proteins to membranes. The eukaryotic SRP consists of a 300-nucleotide 7S RNA and six proteins: SRPs 72, 68, 54, 19, 14, and 9. The record is from Ensembl. NCBI's taxonomy places the organism in Eukaryota, Metazoa, Chordata, Mammalia, Primates, Cercopithecidae.